CCCUUAGAUGUCCUGGGCUGCACGCGCGCUACACUGAUGCGUCCAAUAAGCACCUAACCUAAUCCGAAGGGACCGGGUAACCUUAGCAAAGCGCAUCGUGAUGGGGAUAGAUUAUUGCAAUUAUUAGUCUUGAACGAGGAAUUCCUAGUAAACGCAGAUCAUCAAUCUGCAUUGAUUACGUCCCUGCCCUUUGUACACACCGCCCGUCGCACCUACCGAUUGGAUGGUCCGGUGAAGCCUCGGGAUUGUGGUUCUUGCCGCUUUAUUGUGGCGUGACCGCGAGAACUUGUCUAAACCUUAUCAUCUAGAGGAAGGUGAAGUCGUAACA
This 328-nucleotide ribosomal RNA is filed under the name uncultured eukaryote. RNAcentral's name for it is "partial 18S ribosomal RNA". It matches the Rfam family "Eukaryotic small subunit ribosomal RNA", at positions 1470 to 1796 of the family's 1831-position model. The record is from RNAcentral.